Molecule: transfer RNA, 75 nt
Filed under: Candidatus Peregrinibacteria bacterium CG_4_10_14_0_2_um_filter_41_8
Lineage: Bacteria; Candidatus Peregrinibacteriota
Also listed under: 1 other name
Description: tRNA-Glu
Rfam family: tRNA
About the family: Transfer RNA (tRNA) molecules are approximately 80 nucleotides in length. Their secondary structure includes four short double-helical elements and three loops (D, anti-codon, and T loops).
Source: RNAcentral
GGUCCCAUCGUCUAGUGGUUAGGACAUCAGGUUCUCAUCCUGGAAACAGGGGUUCAAUUCCCCUUGGGACUACCA